CUCUCCCCACCCCCACAGGAAGGGACAGCUGAUGCACUAACGCAGUGGGCCCUGAGAGUGUAAGGCAGGGGAGGAGCCAGUCAAGAUGACAUCAGGAUACUCAGGAUUUCUCCUGAGGACAACGGUGAUUCACGGAAGAGUUUUAAGCAAGCCAAGGAACCCAUGGAGUUAUCCAUCUGGACAACACUUCCAAAAAGGAGAGCAGGGAAGGGAACUGCUAGCGCGAACCACAAAGGAACACUAGCUUCAAUUUUGACACGGUAA
RNAcentral lists this long non-coding RNA (264 nucleotides) under Capra hircus (goat). Its description in RNAcentral is "lncRNA (ENSCHIG00010027679.1)". Lineage: Eukaryota; Metazoa; Chordata; Mammalia; Artiodactyla; Bovidae. The record is from RNAcentral.